Molecule: long non-coding RNA, 454 nt
Filed under: Homo sapiens (human)
Lineage: Eukaryota; Metazoa; Chordata; Mammalia; Primates; Hominidae
Description: HSALNT0365523
Source: RNAcentral
CCAGCACCCCAGAGCCCUCUAUGUGCCCCCUUUUUAUUGUAGCUCCAUCCAUCCUUCCAUUCUCUAUCCUGAUUCUAUUGCAAUCACUCUCUGGUUUUCGUUAUAGCUUCAUCACCUAAGUGUGGCUUCAUUGGUUAUCUGCAUCUAGCCCAGAAAAGGGCAAAGAGAAAGUUAAAAGGGAACAAUGUAGCCCUGGAAUAGCAUCCAUCAUCUCUAAAAUAGUCACAUGCCACACGGCACUGCAGGAGACACUGGGAAAUGUGUGUUCUGGAAGAACAGUGAACAGCAACAAUCUCUGACACACUGGGCUAAUCAUAUUGGUGCCUACCAAUUAUCAAUGGUUGGUUAUGUGUCUUUUUGAGUCUUGACUUGAUGACAUUUUGCUGGCUCCUUUCUUUCCCAUACCCCUACUUCUAUUUUACAGAAUGAGGUGUUGCCCCAUUCUAGAAUGGCA